This 252-nucleotide ribosomal RNA is filed under the name uncultured bacterium. RNAcentral's name for it is "partial 16S ribosomal RNA". It matches the Rfam family "Bacterial small subunit ribosomal RNA", at positions 524 to 776 of the family's 1533-position model. The record is from RNAcentral.
UACGGAGGAUGCGAGCGUUAUCCGGAUUCAUUGGGUUUAAAGGGUGCGCAGGCGGACUGUCAAGUCAGCGGUAAAAUAGCGGGGCUCAACCCCGUCGAGCCGUUGAAACUGGCGGUCUGGAGUGGGCGAGAGGCAGGCGGAACGCGCGGUGUAGCGGUGAAAUGCAUAGAUAUCGCGCAGAACCCCGAUUGCGAAGGCAGCUUGCCAGCGCCCUACUGACGCUCAGGCACGAAAGCGCGGGUAUCGAACAGG